AGCGUAGGCGGGAUGCCAAGUAGAAUGUUAAAUCCAUCGGCUCAACUGGUGGCAGCGUUCUAAACUGGCGUUCUUGAGUGAGGUAGAGGCAGGCGGAAUUCCUAGUGUAGCGGUGAAAUGCGUAGAUAUUAGGAGGAACACCAGUGGCGAAGGCGGCCUGCUGGGCCUUAACUGACGCUGAGGCUCGAAAGCGUGGGAGCAAACA
RNAcentral lists this ribosomal RNA (205 nucleotides) under uncultured bacterium. RNAcentral describes it as "partial 16S ribosomal RNA". It matches the Rfam family "Bacterial small subunit ribosomal RNA", at positions 568 to 774 of the family's 1533-position model. The record is from RNAcentral.